UUCAGAGUUGAGUGAGGGUGGGCAUGCGGAAUUCCCACCGUCCAAGAUCACAUUCCCUUCUAGAUGGUUCUCCUUCCUGCCCAUCCGCCAGGGCCCAAGUGGUGUUUCCGUUACUCUCUGGAUGGUUCCAACCUUCGAGCCUGCUAGAAGAGGCCCAGUUGGUACGGUAAUACUUAUUCACCAAGCUGGUCAUCGACGAGAGUGAGGAUAUCCUAGACGGAGCAAGAAUGGGCAGAGGCUGAAGGUAGAGGUUUGGUUUUUUUUCUCCUUUUUUUUAUAUAUAUAUGUAUAUAUAUACAAGACACAUUAAUCCAUUAAGUUUGAGGACACAGUACAAAAAAAAAAACACUUCAACUAAUUCAUAUGACAAUGCUG
Molecule: long non-coding RNA, 375 nt
Organism: Peromyscus californicus insignis
Lineage: Eukaryota; Metazoa; Chordata; Mammalia; Rodentia; Cricetidae
Exons: 2
Source: RefSeq, a predicted model, not a curated record